CCUACGGGGUGCAGCAGUGGGGAAUAUUGCACAAUGGGGGGAACCCUGAUGCAGCGACGCCGCGUGAGUGAAGAAGUAUUUCGGUAUGUAAAGCUCUAUCAGCAGGGAAGAAGAUGACGGUACCUGACUAAGAAGCCCCGGCUAACUACGUGCCAGCAGCCGCGGUAAUACGUAGGGGGCAAGCGUUAUCCGGAUUUACUGGGUGGAAAGGGAGCGUAGACGGCAGGGCAAGUCUGGAGUGAAAGCCCGGGGCCCAACCCCGGGACUGCUUUGGAAACUGCCAUGCUAGAGUGCUGGAGAGGUAAGCGGAAUUCCUAGUGUAGCGGUGAAAUGCGUAGAUAUUAGGAGGAACACCAGUGGCGAAGGCGGCUUACUGGACAGUAACUGACGUUGAGGCUCGAAAGCGUGGGGAGCAAACAGGAUUAGAUACCCGAGUAGCC
RNAcentral lists this ribosomal RNA (440 nucleotides) under uncultured bacterium. RNAcentral describes it as "partial 16S ribosomal RNA". It matches the Rfam family "Bacterial small subunit ribosomal RNA", at positions 338 to 795 of the family's 1533-position model. The record is from RNAcentral.